Long non-coding RNA from Carya illinoinensis, 777 nucleotides. RefSeq lists it as uncharacterized. Lineage: Eukaryota; Viridiplantae; Streptophyta; Magnoliopsida; Fagales; Juglandaceae. The transcript has 3 exons. The record is from RefSeq and is a predicted model, not a curated record.
CCCCUUCGAUUUCCCCUUUCUCAGACCUCGAGAAGCAGGAACCCUAACCCUCUUCAAUUUCCCUUAGACCUCUCUCUCUGAUUAUUGUGACUUCGAUUUCCCUCAGAGUUCUCUCUCUCUUUCGAAUGCUGACUUGGGAUGUGGAGUGUUUCAUGGACAGCAUCGCUAAGAGAUUUGUGGAGUUGACCAUGGCACAUAGGGGGGAAGUGAAAGCUGUAAUGACGACUGUUAUUGCCCUUCCACCGAAAGAGGAGAAAGAACUGAAGGAAACACUUAAAGAUAUUAUUGGACGUGGGAAGAAGGUUAAUUGAUCUCGAGCAGAAGGUAUGUGGCAUAUCAUCCAUGACUCUUAUUUUCUUGCACUACUUCAUUUAACGUUAAACAAAAAGGAAUUCAUUUUUUUAUUUUUUAUUUUUUUUAUUUAUGUAUGUUAGAUUGAUUCGAGUAUUCUUGGUGGCCUGGUGGUUGAAUUCGAUCGGACAAAAUGUCUAUCUUGAUAUGUCCAUCAAGACCAGGGUUCGAUCGGCAGAUGGAAAUAUUGCAGCACUUUGCUCACUCUACUCAUGCUGCUACUACAAGUCUUGAAGACCUACAAUAUGCCUCUGCUUCUAAAUUUCUUUUGUUUGCUCUGGAUGAUCUGCAUGGAGGCCCACUAGAAUAGUCAUUGCAUGCCUUUCCACUUUCUAUUUUUGUCCCAUUUGUUGGAAUUGUACAAAUACCUUUUGUUUUGCCUUUUAUUGUUAGUAGUGGAAUAGGUGGUACUUUUGUGUGCUGUCU